This 519-nucleotide ribosomal RNA is filed under the name uncultured bacterium. Its description in RNAcentral is "bacterial SSU rRNA". It matches the Rfam family "Archaeal small subunit ribosomal RNA", at positions 345 to 866 of the family's 1478-position model. The record is from RNAcentral.
AACCUCCGCAAUGUGAGAAAUCGCGACGGGGGGAUCCCAAGUGCCAUUCUUAACGGGAUGGCUUUUCAUUAGUGUAAAGAGCUUUUGGAAUAAGAGCUGGGCAAGACCCGUGCCAGCCGCCGCGGUAACACCGGCAGCUCUAGUGGUAACAAUUUUUAUUGGGCCUAAAGCGUCCGUAGCCGGUUUAAUAAGUCUCUGGUGAAAUCCUGUAGCUUAACUGUGGGAAUUGCUGGAGAUACUAUUAGACUUGAGACCGGGAGAGGUUAGAGGUACUCCCAGGGUAGAGGUGAAAUUCUGUAAUCCUGGGAGGACCGCCUGUUGCGAAGGCAUCUAACUGGAACGGUUCUGACGGUGAGGGACGAAAGUUAGGGGCGCGAACCGGAUUAGAUACCCGGGUAGUCCUAACUGUAAACGAUGCGGACUUGGUGUUGGGGUGGCUUUGAGCUGCUCCAGUGCCGAAGGGAGCUGUUAAGUCCGCCGCCUGGGAGUACGGUCGCAAGACUGAAACUUAAAGGAAGU